This 402-nucleotide ribosomal RNA is filed under the name uncultured Tintinnidium. RNAcentral's name for it is "partial small subunit ribosomal RNA". It matches the Rfam family "Eukaryotic small subunit ribosomal RNA", at positions 30 to 432 of the family's 1831-position model. The record is from RNAcentral. Lineage: Eukaryota; Ciliophora; Spirotrichea; Tintinnida; Tintinnidae.
GCUUGUCUCAAAGAUUAAGCCAUGCAUGUCUAAGUAUAACUCUUUUACUUUGAAAACUGCGAACGGCUCAUUAUAUCAGUUAUAGUUUCUUUGAUAGUCCCUUACUACUUGGAUACCCGUAGUAAUUCUAGAGCUAAUACAUGCAUCAAUACCCAACUGUUCGCGGAAGGGUAGUAUUUAUUAGGUAUAGACCAACCCUCCUCGGAGGUGCUUUGGUGAUUCAUAAUAACUUUUCGAAUCGCAUGGCCUUGUGCCGGCGAUGGAUCAUUCAAGUUUCUGCCCUAUCAGCUUCCGACGGUAGGAUAUGGGCCUACCGUGGCAAUGACGGGUAACGGAGAAUUAGGGUUCGAUUCCGGAGAGGGAGCCUGAGAAACGGCUACCACAUCUAAGGAAGGCAGCAGG